RNAcentral lists this ribosomal RNA (253 nucleotides) under uncultured bacterium. Its description in RNAcentral is "partial 16S ribosomal RNA". It matches the Rfam family "Bacterial small subunit ribosomal RNA", at positions 524 to 776 of the family's 1533-position model. The record is from RNAcentral.
GACGAACCGUACGAACGUUAUUCGGAAUUACUGGGCUUAAAGGGUGCGUAGGCGGCGCGGAAAGUAGGGUGUGAAAUCCCUCGGCUCAACCGAGGAACUGCGCUCUAAACUACCGUGCUCGAGGGAGAUAGAGAUGAGCGGAACUGAGGGUGGAGCGGUGAAAUGCGUUGAUAUCCUCAGGAACACCGGUGGCGAAAGCGGCUCACUGGAUCUCUUCUGACGCUGAGGCACGAAAGCUAGGGGAGCAAACGGG